CCCGUUUCCGUUAUGCUCUAAUGUUUAGCUUGUUUCCUUUCUCCGUCGAUCCGGAAUGCUGCUGCUGAGAUCGUUUCGGCCGAGGGGCAACGAAAUUGUGAAGUUCUAGUUUCAUUCGGCGCAUCCAUGGCUCGUCUCCAUGGUUGCGUCGGACUUUGUCCCCGUUUUGGAAUUAGGAGCAUCGUUAGAUAGUUCAUCACGCAUUCUUGGGUUAUACUAUGUGUAUUCUGUAUGGAAUGGAAUGUAGGAGCAAUUUACUUGAUAAUUUCGAUGUUGUUGACGUGAUGAUGAUUGUGGGUUCUUCUGAUUUUCGGGUUUCACCAUGUGUGUAUGUGAGCGCAUGUUUUGAUGUGAUGAUGAUCGUGGGUUCUUCUGGUUUUGGGUGAUUCAUGAGCUGAAACGUGUUGAUGAGAGGCGUUUGGGUUGGUGCUAAGUUGGAGAAGCUUGCCGAAGGAAAAUCUCAGGUGCAUACAAUUGAUUAGAUUCUGAUAGAAAAGAUAGGAAGUGAGUCGUGAUAAAAGCUCGUUCUAGUUGCAGCAGAUGGCAUUGUUUUUAUAAGCAUUUGUUUGGAUGCUACUUGGAAAUUAGUCGCGGCUUAGUUGCAGCAGGAAUUCUCUAAUCAAAUUAAUGUGCAUAUGAUUGAUGAAUUGAGUAAAUCUGUGUCGAUGUCUAGUCACAUGAAUUGAAAUGUUGAAGCAUUGAACACUGAUUCCGAUAACGAAACAGGUCUAUGAUAUUGGCCCACAGCUCAUAUGCUCAUGAGAAGAGCUUAACUUGAAGCAUACAAGCACAAUUCUUUUCAUUGGCCAAACACUUUCAGACGGAUUCUUUUUCUGCAGACCAAUCAGUUGGUGGUCUUCUGUACAAUGAACUUCUGCAUUAAUGAUCUCUCUUUUUUCCCCUUUUUUUGGGUUCUUGUAGAGUCUAAGGGUAAACAUGUUUGAGGGAAAAAGUCAUGGAUAAUGCAAGUCCAGUUAUUGACUUUACUGCACAAAACUGCCGCAUGAAAGUAGCAUUUGGUGCUGCACAAAGUCUCGAGUAUUUGCAUGAUAAGGCCAAUCCACCUGUUAUAUGUCGUGAUUUCAAUUCCUUGAACAUCUUGUUGGAUGAGGCUUUCAAUCUGAAAUUAUCCGACUUUGGACUGGCCAUGCUCGGGCCUGCCGGAGACGAGAUGCAUGUACUCGUACAGGGUUAUGGAUACUUAUGGCCUUUUGGCUCCUAUAUAGGCAAUAACCGUCCAACUUGUAUGCUUUCUAAUGGUUACAUAGGGGGACAGAAGUAGGGUUGGCUCUUGCCUGAUGGAAGCAUUUAUUAUUAUCACAGGAUGAGCGCAAGCUUGUCUCAUAGAAGCGGGUCUCCAGUCCAUGAGAUGAGCCAAGACAGCAGAAAAUGUUCCUUGAGCCGUAAGAGCAGCGAGAGAUCAUUUGACAGAAUUGAUCUUUUUAAGUCCAAAAGGAAGCAGCAGAUGCAGCAGAACGGGAUCGAUGGGUCGUGCUGCCUGUUGGGCGGACGAUCCACGGGUGGUUCACAGGAUGGAAACUAAGGAAUCAAUAUUUUGAGUCCGAAAGGAAGCAGCAGGUGCAGCAGAACAGGGUCACUUGACGAUGCUGCCUCUUUGGCAGACGAUGACACGGGGGUUCAUAGGAUGGUAGCUAAGGAGUCAAUCUUCUGAGUUCAAAAGGAAGCGGCAGAUACAGCAAACCGGGGUCACUAGAUGGUGCUGCCUUUUUUGGUGGAUGAUGACAUGGAGGGGUUUUCACAGUAUGGGAGCUAAUCUUUCGAGUUCAAAAGGAAGCAGCAGAUACAGCAAAACAAGAACACUAGAUCAUGCUACUUAUUUUGGGAACUAUGACACGGGGGGUUUCAUUGGAUGGGAGCUUCUAUCAGCGGCACGACAGCCAUGGUAUACCAAGAGACCAUACGCUUUCCUUGAAACAAGACAACUGUGAGAGAUUCUGAUGUCAAUUUGAUUCGUUCCAAGCAAUUGAGCUACGAGCAUAUCCACUCAUCAUCAUAAGCUCCCGUCACUUGGUUAUCUUUAUUUAACAUACAGUUUAAGAUCUUCUCUCUUAUGAUCUUGUCGCUACUGAAGACAGGAUGCACAUUCGAU
Molecule: long non-coding RNA, 2110 nt
Filed under: Eucalyptus grandis
Lineage: Eukaryota; Viridiplantae; Streptophyta; Magnoliopsida; Myrtales; Myrtaceae
Description: long non-coding RNA (EGRA_LNC000664)
Source: RNAcentral